This 401-nucleotide RNase P RNA is filed under the name Actinomycetota bacterium. Its description in RNAcentral is "Actinobacteria bacterium RNase P RNA component class A". It matches the Rfam family "Bacterial RNase P class A". Rfam says of the family: Ribonuclease P (RNase P) is a ubiquitous endoribonuclease, found in archaea, bacteria and eukarya as well as chloroplasts and mitochondria. Its best characterised activity is the generation of mature 5'-ends of tRNAs by cleaving the 5'-leader elements of precursor-tRNAs. The record is from RNAcentral. Lineage: Bacteria; Bacillati; Actinomycetota.
GGAGCCGGCCGGGCGGCCGCGGCCGCGCCUCGCGCGCGGUCGAGGAAAGUCCGGACUCCACAGGGCAGGGUGCUGGGGCGACUCAGGCGGGGGCGACCUCGCGAAGGCGCAACAGAGAGAAGACCGCCUCUCCCGUUCGCGGGAGGGGUAAGGGUGAAACGGUGCGGUAAGAGCGCACCAGCGGCGCGGGCGACCGCGCCGGCUCGGCAAGCCCCACCCGGAGCAAGGCCAAGCAGGCAGCGUUCGAGGGUGGCCCGCCCGAGCUGCCGGGUAGGCCGCACGGCGCGGGUGAACCGCGACGCGGCGGCGCGGCGGGGAGACCCGCCUGCGCGCCGAGAGAGAUGGCCGCCGCCGGGACCUCGGUCCCGGUACAGGAUCCGGCUUAUAGGCCGGCUCCUCCA